Molecule: transfer RNA, 74 nt
Filed under: Vibrio vulnificus CMCP6
Lineage: Bacteria; Pseudomonadati; Pseudomonadota; Gammaproteobacteria; Vibrionales; Vibrionaceae
Also listed under: 1 other name
Description: tRNA-Met
Rfam family: tRNA
About the family: Transfer RNA (tRNA) molecules are approximately 80 nucleotides in length. Their secondary structure includes four short double-helical elements and three loops (D, anti-codon, and T loops).
Source: RNAcentral
CGCGGGGUGGAGCAGCUUGGUAGCUCGUCGGGCUCAUAACCCGAAGGUCGUUGGUUCAAAUCCAGCUCCCGCAA